Molecule: ribosomal RNA, 208 nt
Filed under: uncultured bacterium
Lineage: Bacteria
Description: partial 16S ribosomal RNA
Rfam family: Bacterial small subunit ribosomal RNA
Source: RNAcentral
UACGGGGGGGAGCAAGCGUUGUUCGGAUUUACUGGGCGUAAAGGGCGCGUAGGCGGCGUGACAAGUCACUUGUGAAAUCUCCGGGCUUAACUCGGAACGGUCAAGUGAUACUGUCGUGCUAGAGUACAGAAGGGGCAACUGGAAUUCUCGGUGUAGCGGUGAAAUGCGUAGAUAUCGAGAGGAACACCUGCGGCGAAGGCGGGUUGCU